UACGAAGGGGGCUAGCGUUGCUCGGAAUCACUGGGCGUAAAGCGCACGUAGGCGGAUUGCUAAGUCAGGGGUGAAAUCCUGGAGCUCAACUCCAGAACUGCCUUUGAUACUGGCGAUCUCGAGUCCGGGAGAGGUGAGUGGAACUGCGAGUGUAGAGGUGAAAUUCGUAGAUAUUCGCAAGAACACCAGUGGCGAAGGCGGCUCACUGGCCUGGUACUGACGCUGAGGUGCGAAAGCGUGGGGAGCAAACAGG
Molecule: ribosomal RNA, 253 nt
Filed under: uncultured bacterium
Lineage: Bacteria
Description: partial 16S ribosomal RNA
Rfam family: Bacterial small subunit ribosomal RNA
Source: RNAcentral